RNAcentral lists this long non-coding RNA (202 nucleotides) under Elaeis guineensis (African oil palm). RNAcentral's name for it is "long non-coding RNA (EGUI_LNC081140)". The record is from RNAcentral. Lineage: Eukaryota; Viridiplantae; Streptophyta; Magnoliopsida; Arecales; Arecaceae.
UUAAGGUGGUUGAAGACUUGAAUGAGCUCUUGAAAGGUUGGUGAACUUGAAAUAAAAGCUUCUUGAACUUUUAAGAGGGCUCUUGCUUAGGGUUGAAAUGAAUGCUUGAAGAACCAUUUCAAAACCUUAUUGAUUCUCUCUUUUAAGUGCCUUUUAUAACUUCAAAUGAUGGUGGAGAGUAAUCUGAGCUGAAAUAGAGCCA